UCGGGAUAGCUCAGCUGGUAGAGCAGAGGACUGAAAAUCCUCCG
Molecule: transfer RNA, 44 nt
Filed under: Gilbertiodendron tonkolili
Lineage: Eukaryota; Viridiplantae; Streptophyta; Magnoliopsida; Fabales; Fabaceae
Description: partial tRNA-Phe
Source: RNAcentral